Molecule: long non-coding RNA, 1620 nt
Organism: Cyprinus carpio (common carp)
Lineage: Eukaryota; Metazoa; Chordata; Actinopteri; Cypriniformes; Cyprinidae
Source: Ensembl
UUGGGGAACAUCCCACGAGGCAAGAGGUCAGUGACGUCAUGAAGCGCGUAGCUCUGAUCUCACAGAUGGAUCUGUAGAUCUGUGUCAUUAGCUCACAUGAGAACAUGGAUCUAGAGCAGGGGAGGGGAACUCUGAUUGCAGCCCUGCAGAAUUCAGCUCAAACCCUAAUUAAAACUCACCUGCCUGUAGCUUUCUAGUAACCCUUCAGACCUUGAUUAGCAGUGUGUUUGAUUAGGGUUGAAGCAAAACUCUGCAGGGCUGCGGCUCUCCAGGACCGAUGUUCACCACCACUGCUCUAGAGGCUUGCUCAGAUGUUUAGUUCAGGCACCGAGAGUCACAAAUCUGCAGACGGCUGCAGAAAAGUGAUUAAUAUACAUACUAAUAUACAUUAAUAUACAUCUAAAAAAAAGGAAACAUGCAAAAAGGGUUCUGUGAGGGGUAGAGAAUAAAAAUACUAAAAAUACUCUACUGGGAUGUGCUAUGAAUAAAGACCAGUCAGGGUCAGUGUGCGGUUUAUAAAAACAAGUCUAUGAAAGGUCCUCAUUUAUCUAAUGUCUGUGUGUUUUGUAUCCCUGUCUCAUGGAUGUUUUUCACUGCUUGUGUUCUUCCAGCAGGAUUAAAUCAUUCCUCCUGCCAGCGAUUCCCAAACCGUGCAUCCCAGGGCUUGAAUCUGCUCUGCUGAAGAAGGGGAAGAUUGAUGAGAUCGAUCAGCAUUUCUCCAGUUUUCACAGCUAUAAGUCCCCCCAGUACUGCACGGAGACGUGGUACCAGGUGAGUGUGGACACGAGUCCGGCUGUGACGCCCAGCAGCAUCCAGUCUGACGGUAUACAAGAGGAUGUGCUGAUCACGCCAAUCAUACCGAUUGUGCCGAUCGGGCCAAUCACGCAGUACGUCACCUGCCCCAAUGGACAACAGUCUGUUCAGACCAGCUGCACUCCUAUGCCUUAUGUCCACGGCCCGGCCCCCUACUGUGAGAAAGACACACCCCCUCCAGUCCCUGGCCCCGCCCACCCGGAGCUCAUGUCUGUCCCAGGCAUGGACUAUAACAUGAUUUUAAACCACGCCCCCUACUGUGUGGAAGACACGCCCCCUCCAGACCCUGGCCCUAUCCACCCGGAGCUCAUGUCUGUCCCAGGCAUGGACUACAGCAUGAUUAUAAGCCCCGCCCCCUACUGUAAGGAAGAUACACCCCCUCCCAACCCUGGCCCCGCCCACCUGGAGCUCGUGUCUGUCCCAGGCAUGGACUACAGCAUGAUUCUAAACCCCGCUCCCUACUGUGAGGAAGACACGCCCCCUCCAGACCCUGGCCCCGUCCACCCGGAGCUCGUGUCUGUCCCGGGCAUGGACUACAGCAUGAUUCUAAGCCCCACCCCCACGCUGCCGCCCACUCAGGACUUCUACAUGCGUGUGAACGGCGUGACGCCCGCUGGUGCUCUGCAUCUGGUGCCCUGCCUGAAGCUCGAUGAAGGAGAGGAUGACGAAGCGGACAAGAGCCACCAGCUGGCAGUGGUGCUGGAGAAGCAGAUGGAGGCGCUGUUGAGCACGAUCGAGUCAGACCCGAGCGAUGCUGGCAUGCCUUCACUACCUCAUUCAUCAGACAGGAGCUGCAGAAGCAUCUGA